AUUGAACGCUGGCGGCAGGCCUAACACAUGCAAGUCGAGCGGAUGAAGGGAGCUUGCUCCUGGAUUCAGCGGCGGACGGGUGAGUAAUGCCUAGGAAUCUGCCUGGUAGUGGGGGAUAACGUCCGGAAACGGGCGCUAAUACCGCAUACGUCCUGAGGGAGAAAGUGGGGGAUCUUCGGACCUCACGCUAUCAGAUGAGCCUAGGUCGGAUUAGCUAGUUGGUGGGGUAAAGGCCUACCAAGGCGACGAUCCGUAACUGGUCUGAGAGGAUGAUCAGUCACACUGGAACUGAGACACGGUCCAGACUCCUACGGGAGGCAGCAGUGGGGAAUAUUGGACAAUGGGCGAAAGCCUGAUCCAGCCAUGCCGCAUGUGUGAAGAAGGUCUUCGGAUUGUAAAGCACUUUAAGUUGGGAGGAAGGGCAGUAAGUUAAUACCUUGCUGCUUUGACGUUACCAACAGAAUAAGCACCGGCUAACUUCGUG
Molecule: ribosomal RNA, 484 nt
Filed under: uncultured bacterium
Lineage: Bacteria
Description: partial 16S ribosomal RNA
Rfam family: Bacterial small subunit ribosomal RNA
Source: RNAcentral